RNAcentral lists this transfer RNA (70 nucleotides) under Vollenhovia emeryi. RNAcentral describes it as "tRNA-Leu". It matches the Rfam family "tRNA". From Rfam's summary of the family: Transfer RNA (tRNA) molecules are approximately 80 nucleotides in length. Their secondary structure includes four short double-helical elements and three loops (D, anti-codon, and T loops). Further hydrogen bonds mediate the characteristic L-shaped molecular structure. tRNAs have two regions of fundamental functional importance: the anti-codon, which is responsible for specific mRNA codon recognition, and the 3' end, to which the tRNAs corresponding amino acid is attached (by aminoacyl-tRNA synthetases). tRNAs cope with the degeneracy of the genetic code in two manners: having more than one tRNA (with a specific anti-codon) for a particular amino acid; and 'wobble' base-pairing, i.e. permitting non-standard base-pairing at the 3rd anti-codon position. The record is from RNAcentral. Lineage: Eukaryota; Metazoa; Arthropoda; Insecta; Hymenoptera; Formicidae.
UUUAAUAUGGCAGAACAGUGCAAAGGCCUUAAAAUCCUUACAUAAAGAUUCUAAAAAUCUUUUAUUAAAA